This 253-nucleotide ribosomal RNA is filed under the name uncultured bacterium. RNAcentral's name for it is "partial 16S ribosomal RNA". It matches the Rfam family "Bacterial small subunit ribosomal RNA", at positions 524 to 776 of the family's 1533-position model. The record is from RNAcentral.
UACGUAGGUGGCAAGCGUUGUCCGGAUUUACUGGGCGUAAAGAGCGCGCAGGCGGUCGUUCAAGUCGCGUGUGAAAGCCCCCGGCUCAACUGGGGAGGGUCACGCGAUACUGAUCGACUGGAAGGCAGGAGAGGGUAGUGGAAUUCCCGGUGUAGUGGUGAAAUGCGUAGAUAUCGGGAGGAACACCGGUGGCGAAGGCGGGUCUCUGGGCAACUACUGACGCUGAGGAGCGAAAGCGUGGGGAGCGAACAGG